CGUUGCUCUAGGGAGAGGAAAUGGGUCGUUCCAACAAAAGCACCUUCCCCAGAGGCUUUACCAGGGGAUGGCCUCACCAUUGCUGAGCAUCCCCUGAACCCCGAGCAUCGAUUAGCACAGCUCGAGGGGAGAAGGAGACAGGUCUUGAAGCACUGAAGGAAAGAAAAGAAUGUGUUCCUUGACUGCUUUGAGGUUGUAAGUGAUGUUGGAGUCAAGGGCACUUCUAUGUUUGAUGUGGUAUUUGCUUCCUGUCAUGCAUUCUUGCAUAUUAUUUCUGUGCCCUGUUAUCUCGCUGAUGUGGUUCGCUCAAGGAGUGGUCGAAACGCGGCUCUGACCGUGUGUCACCACCAACAAGUUCAUUUGCCUCUGUAGGAGGAGGAAAAUAACAAUAAUAAAAAAUAAAAACAGUAAUAAAAAAAUAAAAACAAUAAUAAAAAAUCCAGGCUGCCUCAUAACUGUGUGCUGAGCACAUGUGCCUCUCUGAGCACAUGUUGUUGUGAGAUUUUUUUCUUUUUUUCUUCUUUCCCCUUCCACCUACCUUUGCAACCCAGCAACCUGCAAGAGUUUGGUUCAGCUGCAAGUGCCUGCUUUUCAUGGGAAAGGUGUUUGUGCACAGCAUAGCUGGGAGCCCUCCUAGGCAGGGGGCUGUCAGGACAACCAGCAGCUGGGUUGUGGCUCUUCAGACCUUAUUUUACUUCCGUAAUAUUUCUUUAAAUCUCAUAAGAUUGUUAAAGUAAAAGCAAUGCCUUCAGUAAAAUGAGAUUUGCUUUCAGACUGGACAUAGAAAAGAGAAAAAAAAUUCAAACCCACAAGUGCUCCCAGGCAGGAGCUGGUGGGACCUUCUCAUCACUCCCAUCAAAAGUGGCAUCUGGUCCUUUUUAUGUAGCUGCCCUCCUGUACCAUCACAUCCCCAAAUGCCAGCCAACAUCCACAUCACACUUCAACUGUCCCACUGGGCAAGGACCCUCUUCUUCUGCCAAGGAAGGGCAAAGACAGAAUGCAGCUUGCACCAGGAUGUUUAGUUGUGUUAUGAGCUUUUAUUUAAAAAGCACAUUUAUACAGCAAUAAUUUCGCAGAUACAAACUUCAAUUUUGUAUUCUACAAAAGUCUUUGAAUAUUCUUCUCUUUACAAAAUGGAACAUUACAAAAAUACAGACAAUUUAAUAUGUUUUUUUUAUACAAAUGUCUCUAAUUGUAGUUAUUUUCAUUAAAAUAUUACUACCACAGAACUACAAUAUUUUAGUCGACUAUAAAAAAAUUAAUUCAAUGCUUUUUUAAGCAGCAAAAUGUAAAUAACACAGGUCAGGACACAGUUUAUAGUCAUAGUGGAUAUAUCUAAAAUUGUUUCAGAAAUAAUAUUUUACAUAGUUAAUUUUUAAGGUUUUAUACAUUAUUUAUAUAAUAUUUAUAAUAUAAAAAAAAAAUCAUAGCUUGCUAUAAGUUGAAAUGAUAGGACGGAUUCUGUGAGAAGGAUGUGCAAAUGGCCGUUCUGCGUGUUCUGCGGGAUCCCUUUGCAAAUGCGCUUCGUGGAAGGGCUGCAAACCAAGCACCUGUGGCUUCUGGGCAAAAAAAAAAUGUCAUCAUCACACCCGAGAGAGGCACAGCUGAUUUCCCACCGGAGUGACCCAGCGGAGCACAGGACCUGGUACUGCCAUGGCGCACCCCGGGGUGGCCAGGGAGGAGGAGGAGGAGGAGGAGGAGGAGGAGAGGAGGGGAUGCACAAACGGACUGACACCCAGGCCGGGACGUGCCGCCCAGCAGCCCGUCCCAAAACUGCAGAAUAAAAGUUUCCCCAGGACUCAGCCCCGGGGUCGUAGUGCGAACGAGUCUUCGGCAGCGCCGCCGCUCCCCUGGCACAAACCGCCGGCUCCCGCGGGCGGGCGCGCACGAAACCUGCUGGGAUUCUUCUCUGGGGGAAAGGGGACGGCUGGGAAGUGGAGGAUGCUCUUUUCAUUUAGGGGGGCUCGGGUGGGAUGAGCCUUCGCCAGGGAGCGAGCGGGAAGGAAGAAAUGUGGCUUCUCUGUGCGGAGGAAGGAGCUCUCCGGCCUCACUGCGCGUCUCGGGCCGCUCGUUAAAGGCGUGUAGUGUGAGCAGAGAGAGCAGAGACCCUUUGGAGACCCUGGACUGGGCAAGCUUCUUCUAAAUUAAGUCACAGUAUGGAAGAGAGGAGGCAAAAAUAAACUAGGAUCAAGAAGAGAAAAAA
Molecule: long non-coding RNA, 2203 nt
Organism: Motacilla alba alba
Lineage: Eukaryota; Metazoa; Chordata; Aves; Passeriformes; Motacillidae
Exons: 3
Source: RefSeq, a predicted model, not a curated record